Molecule: long non-coding RNA, 291 nt
Filed under: Mytilus galloprovincialis (Mediterranean mussel)
Lineage: Eukaryota; Metazoa; Mollusca; Bivalvia; Mytilida; Mytilidae
Source: RNAcentral
UGGAAAUUGUCUAAAAUGCAGGUUGCGGGUUGCGGGUUGCGGGUUGCAGGUUGCGGGUUGCGGGUUGCCACAAGGGGAUAAGCAUGGAAUGGUGUAAUCUACAUACUUUUACUUGUUUCACUUGUUAUAACAAUUUUAUGAUCAAUGUUAAAGGCAUGGUAUUUAAUUACAAUACACAUCAUUCUUGUGUAAAUAAACUUACACCUAAAAAUAGAAAUCUAUCAAUUUACAUUAAUUACAAUAUCUUGAUGGGUUUAUGUAAUAUUAUACACACCUUUUCGUAUGAAAAAA